RNAcentral lists this ribosomal RNA (251 nucleotides) under uncultured prokaryote. RNAcentral describes it as "partial 16S rRNA". It matches the Rfam family "Bacterial small subunit ribosomal RNA", at positions 525 to 775 of the family's 1533-position model. The record is from RNAcentral.
ACGGAGGAUCCGUGCGUUAUCCGGAAUUACUGGGUUUAAAGGGUGCGUAGGCGGGGCUUUAAGCCGGCGGUGAAAUGCAGCGGCUCAACCGGUGGAAUGCCCUUGGGACUGGGGCGCUUGGGUACGGUCGGGGGGGGGGGAACUCGUGGUGUAGCGGUGAAAUGCAUAGAUAUCACGAGGAACGCCGGUAGCGAAGGCAUCUCGCCGGGCCGGUAUUGACGCUGAGGCACGAAAGCGUGGGGAUCGAACAG